GAUGAACGCUGGCGGCGUGCCUAAUACAUGCAAGUCGAACGAAUCACUUAUAGUGGUUAGUGGCGAACGGGUGAGUAACACGUAGGUAACCUGCCCUUAAGACGAGGAUAACCGUUGGAAACGAUGGCUAAAACUGGAUAGGAACAUUGGAGGCAUCUCUGAUGUUUUAAAAGACCUAGCAAUAGGUAUGCUUAAGGAGGGGCCUGCGGCGCAUUAGUUAGUUGGUGGGGUGAUGGCCUACCAAGACAAUGAUGCGUAGCCGGACUGAGAGGUUGAACGGCCACAUUGGGACUGAGAAACGGCCCAAACUCCUACGGGAGGCUG
Molecule: ribosomal RNA, 324 nt
Filed under: uncultured Mycoplasmatota bacterium
Lineage: Bacteria; Bacillati; Mycoplasmatota
Description: bacterial SSU rRNA
Rfam family: Bacterial small subunit ribosomal RNA
Source: RNAcentral